GUUCUUAUAGUUGAAGUACAACGGUGGUUUUUCAUAUCAUUGGUCUUGGUUAAAGUCCGAGUGGGAAUU
Molecule: transfer RNA, 69 nt
Filed under: Hoplunnis punctata
Lineage: Eukaryota; Metazoa; Chordata; Actinopteri; Anguilliformes; Nettastomatidae
Description: tRNA-Glu
Rfam family: tRNA
About the family: Transfer RNA (tRNA) molecules are approximately 80 nucleotides in length. Their secondary structure includes four short double-helical elements and three loops (D, anti-codon, and T loops).
Source: RNAcentral